Molecule: long non-coding RNA, 1369 nt
Organism: Apis florea (little honeybee)
Lineage: Eukaryota; Metazoa; Arthropoda; Insecta; Hymenoptera; Apidae
Source: RefSeq, a predicted model, not a curated record
CAAAAUGGCGUUUUGUGUUGUAACGAAAGUUAUCUUGUGCAUCUAUUCAUAGCUAAGAAACGAUAGAAAAAGAAUAUUUCAUAGUUCGAGGUUAUUUGUUUCCUGUUUCACAUCGAAUUAUACGAAAAAAGAGAUAACAAUGCCCGUCGAGACGAAACGCCAGGCCACUGUUUUUCUCCUGUCUUUGAACGUGUGAACGUCUCCGCCAUAUCGCAUCAAGGACGGAUUGCCUCUUUCAUAGUGUUUUCGUGAGACGAAUUUCUGGAACGUUGUCUCUUUACAACCGUGUGAAAAGAGCGGUCGAAACGGAAAUAAAAUCCUUCUCACUCUUAAAAAUUGAUUUUACUACCGUGAAAUAUGCAUGUUGGAAAUUCCUUACACAGGAGAACAAUGAAAAUCUCCAAAUAAUAUUCAAAAAGAUAAUCACAAAACAUCCAAAAUUUUCCACUUAUAUUCAAACUUAUUUGCAAUAUAUCAGAUAUCUCGUCUAUAUUUCAUCUAUCUUCAAAGGACGAAAGUUGGUAUCAUAAGUUAUCUCUAUCUCGCCAUAAUAAAAGAAACCUCUCCAACUUUUUGGUCACAUCGAUAACCUUGAAAUUCAUACUGUUUUUCCUUAUUACGAACAACUAAAGAGUUCGUCAGAAGUUGUUGUGAUUUCUUUUAAGAAGCCCUUUCGGAGAAAUGGCGGGUGAUUGAUGUCAAACACAUACAGAUCACCCUGGGGGAUCGACGAUCCCGUUUCACCAACGACCUCGACUCAUCAAGGACAAUCCUUAUCGGGGGUAAUAGACACGAAGGAUUUUCAAGCGAACCUACAGAAAAACAAAAUCUAACGAUGAAUCGAGAGUAUCCUCGAGCAAAUGGGAGCACCCUCGUCAACCACAAUUUUCCAUCGAGUUCUUCUUACUGUCAAGGUCGAGGCAGAUUGUCACAGCGAGGAGGGCACGAUGAUUAUCGCGUAUUACGAACUGGAUCUGUCGACUACUGAGAAAAUCUUCUCGAAGGGAUGCCAGAUUAUCGCGAUUGUUGCUCGAAUUACUUCUGUUGAACAAGAAGUUUGUCUGGUUGAAUAAUAACGGCUGCCAAUGUUUAUAACAUUUCAAAUAUUAUGUUCGUGGCGUGGUAUGGACGAUUGGAUGAUGCUCAUCUUUGAUCAUUUUAUCGUAAUUUCGAAUACGUUUCGUAGAUUCUUAAUAUUUCUUAUGGUCUGUCUAGGAGUUUUAUCUAUAUUGUGCAAAGUUUUGAUUCUAAAUUAUAUUUAUAUUAUGAUUGAAACGUAAUUUUCCAGAAUGGAGGCUAUAAUAACAUUUUGCAAAAAUAUUAUCAUAGCGUAUAUGUUUACAAAUUGAGGACAUUUAAUUUAAGGUAA